AAAUUUAUCGACAUGUUGGCUAAACUGUUUUUUUUUUUUUAAUACUUAACGUAAAAUUAGUUAAUUGGAUGCAAAAUAUUAUCUUUGUAAAUGAAAGGAUAAUAAUUGGUGAAUAGAAAGGAUACCAACAUUUAGCCAACAUGAUGCAAAACAGAAAUAAGAUAUCGAUCUACGGUCUACGUUAGCCUGGUCCGGCGUUCUGCCACGCCCACCUGGUUGAUCGCCCGACAACUGUAGUUCCCCGCAUGCCCCUCCCCCGCCCUGUUGAUCAGCAGUAGGCUGGUGUGUUCGCCAACUGUGGCCUGAGUGACGUCAUCGUUGCCAUCAUCGUGCACCUGACGCCCAUCUAGCCACCAUUCGAACAUAAUGGGCGUGGACCCCCGGCUGGCAAUGCAGGAUGGACCAGCGACUGGCCACGCCCGCCGCGUUGCUGGCCACGCACGUGUAGUUGCCGGAGUCACCAAUGGUGGUCUGACGCAGCGACAGGAUCAGGGUGUAUUCGUCGAUCUUGUGGUAGAUGGAGCGCAGCAGGGGCUGUCCGUCCUUCAGCCAGUAGAUGUCGAUGGGCAGGUCGCCGGAGGAGACCAUGCACAUGACCCGCACUGCCUGGCCGCCAUUCACCCCGUUGGCAUUGAAGUGGAACUGAUCAACCUGGGGCAGCUCUGGGAGCGGAUGAUAAGAAAGCCGUGCAUGGAAUGAACACACUGUACAGCGAGGAAAUUUCGGAUGGGUGUACUACGAAAACCCCCAACUCGAGUUGUAUAAUACAGAUAAUACAGGAUUCCAAUCUACGACUAAGACGCCACCCCCAGCUAGCGAUUCCUUAGGAGUAAUUCGCACAAACCCUUGACACUCAGGUGGGUCUCAGCCGUGGUUUCGCCCGCCCGGUUGGCGCCCUUGCAGGUGUAGUUGCCCGCGUGGUCACCCCCCACGCUCUCGAUGUUCAGCGAGCUGCUGCGCCGGCCGUGCAUCAGGAUGGUGACCCCGGCCAAGUCUCCGGCGGGCUCGUUGUUGUAGUACCAGGUAAUGUUGAAGGGUGCGUCGCCGUGCACCACCGCGCACGUCAACUGGUAGUAGUCGCCCACGUACAGUGGCGAAUUUACGGG
RNAcentral lists this long non-coding RNA (1106 nucleotides) under Drosophila melanogaster (fruit fly). Its description in RNAcentral is "antisense RNA:CR45129 (Dmel_CR45129)". Lineage: Eukaryota; Metazoa; Arthropoda; Insecta; Diptera; Drosophilidae. The record is from RNAcentral.